GGGUACUAGGGUAUACCGCACGGACAGACAAAAAACAAACUAAGUAAAAUAUCCUGACCCAAAGGGCAGGUCAAAAAGAGUAUGCACAAAAAUAAAAAGCAUAAGUAUAAACAUCCUGAUCCAAAGGACAGGUCCAAAAGAAAAAUAUGUGCAUCAAAAGAGAUCAUGUAUAAAUAUAAAAAUCCUAGCCUUAAAGGGCAGGUCUAAAUAUAUACAAAUGGCCCGGGGACAGGCCUUAGAAAUUGUCUCCCCUUUAAAUAAAACAGCUAUAUAGAUAUUGUCUUAAAUAAAAGAAAAAUAGCUGUAAAUAAACAAAUA
Molecule: long non-coding RNA, 318 nt
Organism: Cannabis sativa
Lineage: Eukaryota; Viridiplantae; Streptophyta; Magnoliopsida; Rosales; Cannabaceae
Exons: 2
Source: RefSeq, a predicted model, not a curated record